UACGAAGGGGGCUAGCGUUGUUCGGAAUCACUGGGCGUAAAGCGCACGUAGGCGGACCGUUAAGUCGGAGGUGAAAGCCUGGGGCUCAACCCCAGAACUGCCUUCGAUACUGGCGGUCUUGAGUAUGGUAGAGGUUGGUGGAACUCCGAGUGUAGAGGUGAAAUUCGUAGAUAUUCGGAAAGAACACCAGUGGCGAAGGCGGCCA
This 205-nucleotide ribosomal RNA is filed under the name uncultured bacterium. Its description in RNAcentral is "partial 16S ribosomal RNA". It matches the Rfam family "Bacterial small subunit ribosomal RNA", at positions 524 to 727 of the family's 1533-position model. The record is from RNAcentral.